Molecule: ribosomal RNA, 253 nt
Filed under: uncultured bacterium
Lineage: Bacteria
Description: partial 16S ribosomal RNA
Rfam family: Bacterial small subunit ribosomal RNA
Source: RNAcentral
UACGUAGGGUGCGAGCGUUAAUCGGAAUUACUGGGCGUAAAGCGUGCGCAGGUGGUCUCGCAAGUCGAGUGUGAAAGCCCCGGGCUUAACCUGGGAAUUGCGCUCGAAACUACGAGACUGGAGUGUGGCAGAGGGAGGUGGAAUUCCACGUGUAGCGGUGAAAUGCGUAGAGAUGUGGAGGAACACCGAUGGCGAAGGCAGCCUCCUGGGCCAACACUGACACUCAGGCACGAAAGCGUGGGGAGCAAACAGG